CCCCCAGACUCCUACGGGAGGCAGCAGUGGGGAAUAUUGCACAAUGGGGGAAACCCUGAUGCAGCGACGCCGCGUGAGCGAUGAAGUAUUUCGGUAUGUAAAGCUCUAUCAGCAGGGAAGAAGAUGACGGUACCUGACUAAGAAGCCCCGGCUAACUACGUGCCAGCAGCCGCGGUAAUACGUAGGGGGCAAGCGUUAUCCGGAUUUACUGGGUGUAAAGGGAGCGUAGACGGCGAUGCAAGCCAGAUGUGAAAGCCCGGGGCUCAACCCCGGGACUGCAUUUGGAACUGUGUGGCUGGAGUGUCGGAGAGGCAGGCGGAAUUCCUAGUGUAGCGGUGAAAUGCGUAGAUAUUAGGAGGAACACCAGUGGCGAAGGCGGCUUACUGGACUGUAACUGACGUUGAGGCUCGAAAGCGUGGGGAGCAAACAGGAUUAGAUACCCCAGUA
RNAcentral lists this ribosomal RNA (447 nucleotides) under uncultured bacterium. RNAcentral's name for it is "bacterial SSU rRNA". It matches the Rfam family "Bacterial small subunit ribosomal RNA", at positions 328 to 792 of the family's 1533-position model. The record is from RNAcentral.